This 348-nucleotide ribosomal RNA is filed under the name Heterospilus sp. MAS-2010. Its description in RNAcentral is "partial 28S ribosomal RNA". Lineage: Eukaryota; Metazoa; Arthropoda; Insecta; Hymenoptera; Braconidae. The record is from RNAcentral.
CCAAAAGAUCGAAUGAGGAGAUUCAUCGUCAGCUCAUUUUGUAUAUGUAUAAGUUAUGAUGUGNNAGUUACUCUUNNGUAGUAUUGCUNUGUACAUACUUGUGCAUUUAUUUGCAAGAUGUUGCCGGCGUGCACUUCUCCUCUAGUAGGACGUCGCGACCCGUUGGGUGCUGGUCUACGACCCGAGNUGGGAGACUUUAAUAUUNNUUANNUAAUAUUAAAGACCCUUGGUGUUNUUCUGACCGGCUGCCCGGCGGUACUCGUACGGUAUUUAGCCGCAUNUUNANNNUUUGCGUCCAUGUCCAUCGCAAGCGAGGCUAAUUUCUGGUAGUNGCGGACCUAGUGCCGU